GAAACAGUGGCUAAGACUGGAUAGGAAGAUAAAAGGCAUCUUGUAUCUUUUAAAAGACCUAGUUAAUAGGUAUGCUUUAGGAGGGGCUUGCGCCAUAUUAGUUAGUUGGUAGGGUAAUGGCCUACCAAGACGAUGAUGUGUAGCUGGACUGAGAGGUGAACAGCCACAUUGGGACUGAGACACGGCCCAAACUCCUACGGGAGGCAGCAGUAGGGAAUUUUCGGCAAUGGAGGAAACUCUGACCGAGCAACGCCGCGUGAAUGACGAAGUACUUCGGUAUGUAAAGUUCUUUUAUCGAGGAAGAAAAGCAAAUGGCGAACCAUUUGUUUGCCGGUACUUGAUGAAUAAGCCCCGGCUAAUUAUGUGCCAGCAGCCGCGGUAAGACAUAAGGGGCAAGUGUUAUCCGGAAUUAUUGGGCGUAAAGGGUGCGUAGGCGGUCUAGUAAGUCAGUGGUGUAAUGUCAACGCUUAACGUUGUCCGGCUAUUGAAACUGCUAAACUUGAGUUAGAUAGAGGCGAGUGGAAUUCCAUGUGUAGCGGUAAAAUGCGUAAAUAUAUGGAGGAACACCAGAGGCGUAGGCGGCUCGCUGGGUCUUAACUGACGCUGAGGCACGAAAGCGUGGGGAGCAAACAGGAUUAGAUACCCUGGUAGUCCACGCCGUAAACGAUGAGUACUAAGUGUCGGGUUAAACCGGUACUGAAGUUAACACAUUAAGUACUCCGCCUGAGUAGUACGUACGCAAGUAUGAAACUUAAAGGAAUUGACGGGACUCCGCACAAGCGGUGGAUCAUGUUGUUUAAUUCGAAGAUACCCGAAAAACCUUACCAGGUCUUGACAUGUUUUUGCAAAAUGAUAGUAAUAUCGUGGAGGUUACCAGAAACACAGGUGGUGCAUGGUUGUCGUCAGCUCGUGUCGUGAGAUGUUAGGUUAAGUCCUAAAACGAGCGAAACCCUUAUCGUUAGUUGCCAGCACGUUAUGGUGGGGACUUUAACGAGACUGCCAAUGAUAAAUUGGAGGAAGGUGAGGAUCACGUCAAAUCAGCAUGCCCCUUAUGACCUGGGCUACAAACGUGAUACAAUGGCUGUUACAAAGGGUAGCUGAAACGCAAGUUCUUGGCCAAUCCCCAAAAACAGUCCCAGUCCGGAUUGAAGUCUGCAACUCGACUUCAUGAAGUUGGAAUCGCUAGUAAUCGCGAAUCAGCAUGUCGCGGUGAAUACGUUCUCGGGGUUUGUACACACCGCCCGUCA
RNAcentral lists this ribosomal RNA (1247 nucleotides) under Sesame phyllody phytoplasma. RNAcentral describes it as "bacterial SSU rRNA". It matches the Rfam family "Bacterial small subunit ribosomal RNA", at positions 153 to 1399 of the family's 1533-position model. Lineage: Bacteria; Bacillati; Mycoplasmatota; Mollicutes; Acholeplasmatales; Acholeplasmataceae. The record is from RNAcentral.